UACGGAGGGUGCAAACGUUGCUCGGAAUCAUUGGGCGUAAAGCGCGCGUAGGCGGCGAAGCAAGUUGGAUGUGAAAGCCCUGGGCUCAACCUAGGAUGUGCAUACAAAACUGCUUCGCUUGAAUCUCGGAGGGGGUCAGGGAAUUCCCGGUGUAGAGGUGAAAUGCGUAGAUACCAAGAGGAACACCUGAGGUGAAGACGGGUUGCUGGGCCAACACUGACGCUGAGGCGCGAAAGCCAGGGGAGCAAACGGG
Molecule: ribosomal RNA, 253 nt
Filed under: uncultured bacterium
Lineage: Bacteria
Description: partial 16S ribosomal RNA
Rfam family: Bacterial small subunit ribosomal RNA
Source: RNAcentral